This 317-nucleotide unclassified non-coding RNA is filed under the name Hevea brasiliensis (rubber tree). Lineage: Eukaryota; Viridiplantae; Streptophyta; Magnoliopsida; Malpighiales; Euphorbiaceae. The record is from RNAcentral.
GGAGAGGAGUUCAAUUUUUCUGUUGAUGAGCUUCCUGUCCAGAUUAAUGUAACAAUAUAUGAUUGGGAUAUAAUUUGGAAAAGCACUGUUUUGGGCUCUGUAACUGUUUCCGUUGAAAAUGAAGGUCAAACUGGUGCAGUAUGGUACACAUUGGAUAGCCCAUCUGGGCAGGUUUGUCUCCAUAUUAAAACAAUAAAGCUACCGGUAAAUUCUUCCAGGGUUAUGAAUGGAAAUGCUCGAAGAAGGAUUUCUUUAGAUAAACAAGGGCCUACAAUGGUUCAUCAGAAACCUGGGCCUCUGCAAACAAUAUUUAACCU